This 77-nucleotide transfer RNA is filed under the name Aeromonas schubertii. RNAcentral describes it as "tRNA-Val". It matches the Rfam family "tRNA". From Rfam's summary of the family: Transfer RNA (tRNA) molecules are approximately 80 nucleotides in length. Their secondary structure includes four short double-helical elements and three loops (D, anti-codon, and T loops). Further hydrogen bonds mediate the characteristic L-shaped molecular structure. tRNAs have two regions of fundamental functional importance: the anti-codon, which is responsible for specific mRNA codon recognition, and the 3' end, to which the tRNAs corresponding amino acid is attached (by aminoacyl-tRNA synthetases). tRNAs cope with the degeneracy of the genetic code in two manners: having more than one tRNA (with a specific anti-codon) for a particular amino acid; and 'wobble' base-pairing, i.e. permitting non-standard base-pairing at the 3rd anti-codon position. Lineage: Bacteria; Pseudomonadati; Pseudomonadota; Gammaproteobacteria; Aeromonadales; Aeromonadaceae. RNAcentral also lists the same sequence under 1 other name. The record is from RNAcentral.
GCGCUCUUAGCUCAGUUGGUUAGAGCACCACCUUGACAUGGUGGGGGUCGGUGGUUCGAGUCCACUAGGACGCACCA